GGCAAGUGGUCCUGACGAGACCCUUGACCUCCAGCCCCAGCCCUUGAGUCCCAAGCCAGGGCUGCUUUCUUCCAUUGAGGGGUCACUCAGGUCCCUGAAGGAAGACAAGUCUCUGGGCAUCACACCUAUGACCUGGGACUUCUUCCUGACACCGGAUCUCGCCAGUGUUCCUGUGCAAGGCCCUGCCUGGGGAAGCUCAAACGUCACAUCAUGGCUCUGCUGGCCAGUGCCCUGCCCGGCGACUGCCGGAGGAGCAGAGAAGAGGGGCUGGGGAAGGGUCACAGCUCAGGUCAGACUCAUGUCGAAUGCCACCCCUCAGAGGCCUGGGAGGGGCUGCAGGCUUCAUAGGUCUUGCUUUGACAACCAGGCCUGUAUCUCUGAAUGAUGAGCUUUUUGAUUUUAAAGUCACAUUUAUUAUGUUGGUACAAAAGUAAUUGUGGUUUUUGCCAUUAAAAGGAAUGGCAAAACCCGCAAUUACUUUUGCAUCAACCUAAUAUUAAUAACCCAUUUUGGUCUGGCAUCAUGCUAACCUCUUACCAGCGCCAAGCACCUUACACAUAUCAUUUCCUCUUCACAGUAGCCCCAUAAGGUAACUAUACAAGGUGUGCUAUUGUCCACACCUAACAGUGGAGGAAACUGAGCCACAGAGAGGUCAAAGUUCUGGCCCAUAGUCGUACAACUGAAAUCCAGGCAUGCCCUUAGCCCCAAAGACAUGCAUCAUCUAACUGCCCUGACAGGCAGUCUCGGUACUAUUAUGCGCCGUUUUGCAGGUGGGGCUCUUGUGGCUGUGCAGAGAAGUUAAGUAAUUUGUCCAAUGUCACACAGCUGGUAAAUUGGCAGAGCCUUUGGAAUCAGCUACACCCUAAAGCUUUCUUUCUUAACCUUUACAUUUAUUGCUUCAGCUGCAAAAGCAAAUUAAGAGUCAACAAGACUUAGUGGUGGGGGGAGAUGGUUAGACUGCUGAGAAUGAAAACCUUCAAUGAGCCCUUCCAAGUUCCUUUGAGGACCAUGUGGCCUCAUUCCUGGGCUAAGUUCAGACCAUGCUCGUCUCUUGCCUGAAGUUGGCUCCCAGAGUCCCCCAGUGAGGACUGAUCACGAACUCCAUCCAGACACUGCCCAUCUUAGGAGGAACUUCAACUAGACACAUGCACACAGUGUCGUAGUUUCACUGUUCUUCCUUUUACUUAGAAGGAAUGGGGAACUGCCCAGAAUCCUGGACAAGAGCAUAGGCUUUGGAGCCAAACAGCCACAGGUUCAAAUUUCUACUUUACUACUUACUAGCUGUGUGACCUUGGGCAAGCUGCUUAACCUCUCUGAGCCCAGUAUCCUCUAUAAAAUGGGGGUAAUAAGAGUAUCUACCUCACUGGAUUUGGGUGGUAAAUGAGAGAAUACAAGUAAGAUAUUUAGCACUGUCCCUGGCUUAGAGUAAGCACUCAAUAAAUAUAGCUAUGACAAUUGUUAUGGUUAUGAAGUCAGAAAUAAUGGCAUCCAAUCCCAGAAGCAUAUGAUACUGCCCACUGUGUUCUAACCAGAAGAAUGGCUAAUAAGAGCUCUUCUCAUGUGCCAGGCACCAAUCUUUUUUUUUUUUUUUUUUUUGAGACGGAGUCUCGCUCUGUCACCCAGGCUGGAGUGCAGUGGCACGAUCUCGGCUCACUGCAACCUCUGCCUCCCGGGUUCAAGCAAUUCUUCUACCUCAGCCUCUUGAGUAGCUGGGA
This 1715-nucleotide long non-coding RNA is filed under the name Homo sapiens (human). Its description in RNAcentral is "HSALNT0163991". The record is from RNAcentral. Lineage: Eukaryota; Metazoa; Chordata; Mammalia; Primates; Hominidae.